GUAGGUGGCAAGCGUUGUCCGGAAUUAUUGGGCGUAAAGCGCGCGCAGGCGGUCCUUUAAGUCUGAUGUGAAAGCCCACGGCUCAACCGUGGAGGGUCAUUGGAAACUGGGGGACUUGAGUACAGAAGAGGAAAGCGGAAUUCCACGUGUAGCGGUGAAAUGCGUAGAGAUGUGGAGGAACACCAGUGGCGAAGGCGGUUUUCUGGUCUGUAACUGACGCUGAGGCGCGAAAGCGUGGGGAGCAAACAGGAUUAGAUACCCUGGUAGUCCACGCCGUAAACGAUGAGUGCUAAGUGUUAGGGGGUUUCCCGCCCCCCUUAGUGCUGCAGCUAACGCAUUAAGCACUCCGCCUGGGGAGUACGGCCGCAAGGCUG
This 374-nucleotide ribosomal RNA is filed under the name uncultured organism. RNAcentral describes it as "partial 16S ribosomal RNA". It matches the Rfam family "Bacterial small subunit ribosomal RNA", at positions 527 to 896 of the family's 1533-position model. The record is from RNAcentral.